UAAAGAGAGACUGGAGAGAUGAGAGAAAUGAAAACAGCAACAAAGAUCAUAAAAGAGAGAAGGAAAAGUUACUUUUAAAAGGAGCCCGGAAAACGCAGGAAUCAAAGUUCCCCGGAUAUGCAACUCACACGCAACAAACAGACUCCACCCUCUGUGCUGCUUCAGGGAGAGGUAUGGAACAGGCAUGAGCAUUCUCAUUUGUAGACGACGAGAAGAGGACCUGGAGUUUAAGCCACUUUCAAGACCACGCUACUCCUUAGGGGCAGAACCAGGAAUUCAAGCCAGAUCAUCUCAUUCCCAGAGACCUGCAUGAAAAGAAGUUCUUCCGGUUGAAGGGAAAUGCUACCAGACGUAAAGUCAAAUCUACGUAAAGAAAUGACGUACACCAAAAAUGAUGAUCCGUGGAUUCAAACCAGGCAAGACAAGUAGACUCUGUCCAGAGACUAAGAGCAGUUUUCAAAUCCCAGAGGAUGAACAGCAAGGCAAGAACCCAUAAAGACCUCCUUGGAGCUGAAGGAUGAACACGGC
Molecule: long non-coding RNA, 528 nt
Filed under: Equus caballus (horse)
Lineage: Eukaryota; Metazoa; Chordata; Mammalia; Perissodactyla; Equidae
Description: lncRNA (ENSECAG00000037447.3)
Source: RNAcentral